GUGGCGGGGGAGGCUGUGAUGUCAGGAAACUGUCGGCCAAACACUCAAAGGGAUGUUUACAUUUAUUACCUUCUUGGGUAAGGCAAAACUUCGCUGCCACAGGAGGCGCUCUUCUGGUCGUUGCACUCUUCCAGAUUUCGGGCGCGGUAGCCACAAUCCUCCUCAGAAAGCAGUUCAAAUCUUUUGGCUGCAGGGAUAUGCCGCCCAUCGAGACACUCCUCUUCUGAGAAGGGAGACGCCCCCCGCCCACGUCCUAUUGCUGGGUCUCUUUACGUCUGGGAUCAAGUGUUUAUCACCUCAAGGUCUGCUGUGAAAGCUGAAGAAAUACCUUUCCCAGCAUAUACCGAGAAACAUCAUUAACAUGUAUAUAUGUGGAACAGUACUUAAAUGUACAUAGGCUGAGUACUUCACUCGGCCUGCUAUAACAUAUCAUAUUUCCCUGAGAGAUAACUAUGGGGUGUAAGUUGAUCUGUAAAUAUAUGGAACUGUCCUUAAAUAGAUGGGUUUUGUUAGUGGCUUAAUAUUUGGUGGUGCCUCUUACAUGGCCCGUUUCUGUGGUUGAAGAAUCUCGGUGAAAAUGACGACUUUGUGUCAAGAAAUGAGAAUAAACAUAUGUGUAUAAUAGACAUGUGUAUAAUGGUCAUUCUUUCAUGUGCAAAUGAAUGGCUGGGAAGAAAUCAGAGGAAAAUUACUCUGACGAAUGAAUAUUCUAAUUUAUUUUCAUAUUUAUUGUAUUACAGCCACUUACGCAAAUAAAUUACCGUAUUUGUUUUUGGUAUUUAAAAAUAAUAAUAAAAGAUUGUUAUGUUAAUGACGAUAUGAUCGCCAUAUAUAGCAUCGUUGAAAAUAGCAAAAGAAUGAAAGAAAUAACACAUAAUCAUUUUAAUCAUCAUUAAUGUUUUUUAUGGCAACCACUGGGUACGUUUGGCAGUUACUGUUUUACUAUCAGCUUACUUGACUAGCUAGACUGUGGCAAGUUUCUAAUUUACAUACUAUUAAAUCGUUUUUUUUAGGUCUAUUUCCUCAAUGUAUAUUUUCUUAACUCAGAAUGGAAUCAAAACGAGAGAAUUCUCCUUUUUCACCAUCUUUCUCAAGCCAAAUAACGCUAUUGCAAGUAAGUCAUUCAACAAAAUACAUUUUAAAUAUACGCUUGCAUUUUUGUACAACUUUUGUGAAUGGAGAAGCAAGAGCAUAGGUGGGAGAAGGAUGACUUAGUAUUUAAUUUUAGAUCUUAAACAUUUGAACCAAAGCACUGUGUGUGUGUGUGUGUGCAUGUGUGUGUGUGAGUGUGUGUGUGAGUGUGUGUGUGUGUGUGUGUGUGUGUGUGUGUGUGUGUGUGUGUGUGUGUGUGUGUGUGUGUGUGUGUGUGUGUGUGUGUGUGUGUGUGUGUGUGUGUGUGUUUGUCUUUUGUUUUUUUCCGUUAAUGUGUGUCCAAAUACGUGUGUAGGUAUACAUAUAUAUAAGCUCCAUGUCUAUGUACAAUAUGUAUAUGUAUAUAUAAUCCCACACACACGCUUUGAAAUAUUUUAGCACUAUGUACUCAGGAAAUUAUGUAUUCAACCAAAUGAUCUUUCUUAUUAAUUAUAGUAUUUUACGUGCAAAGCGGUCUAACCUCCUGCAAAGGACAUUAUUCUGUUGCAGCCAAUGGUUGCUCUACUAGUAUAUGAACUGUAUUCUUUGGAACCCAUAUAGAAAAGAUAUGAAUGAGGAAGCAAAUGUCUUGUAUUGUGAAUAUAGACAUUCCUAUUCAUACCUUUUCUAGUACUUGUAUAUGUUGAAUCACGCCCUCUACGUGUGCUAAAACCAGUAAAUAUUAAAUCAAGAUUAAAUGUUUUGUACAGAUGAAAGUCCGUGGUGGAAAAUUCAUUGAGAACGUUAGCCGAGUGAUAAGCGCUUGGCUAGAUUCAGGAAAGUCUUUCAUAUUAUUUCACUUGUUUUAUUGAUGUUUUUUUUUUAAUUUGGUUCACCGUGUGUAAUUUCAUAUCUUGUACUGCCGUAUCCAUGUGGUUCGUUCAAGCUUCAAUGUCCCUCAUAGAUUUAAAUAAUGUUGUCCGAUUUCUGUCCUUGAAUAUAUAAUUUUUUGCAAUUUGUAAGCACAAUAAAAAAGUGUUUUAAAUUAUU
Penaeus indicus is the source of this 2121-nucleotide long non-coding RNA. RefSeq lists it as uncharacterized. The record is from RefSeq and is a predicted model, not a curated record. The transcript is spliced from 3 exons. Lineage: Eukaryota; Metazoa; Arthropoda; Malacostraca; Decapoda; Penaeidae.